This 138-nucleotide ribosomal RNA is filed under the name uncultured eukaryote. RNAcentral describes it as "partial 18S ribosomal RNA". It matches the Rfam family "Eukaryotic small subunit ribosomal RNA", at positions 1299 to 1458 of the family's 1831-position model. The record is from RNAcentral.
UGGUGGAGUGAUUUGUCUGCUUAAUUGCGUUAACGAACGAGACCUUAACCUGCUAAAUAGUUAUGCCAACUUUUGUUGGUAGCCAACUUCUUAGAGGGACUGUCGGCAUCAAGCCGACGGAAGUUUGAGGCAAUAACA